GAUGAAGAACGUAGCGAAAUGCGAUAAGUAGUGUGAAUUGCAGAAUUCAGUGAAUCAUCGAAUCUUUGAACGCACAUUGCGCCCUUUGGUAUUCCUUAGGGCAUGCCUGUUCGAGCGUCAUUUAAACCUUCAAGCUCAGCUUGGUGUUGGGUGACUGUCCGCCGCCUCCGGGCGGUCGGACUCGCCACAAAUUGAUUGGCGGCCGGUACUUUGGCUUCGAGCGCAGCAGAAACGCGAACUCGAGGCCGUCGUCCUGGCUCCCAGAAGCUAUCUUCACAAUUUUGACCUCGGAUCAGGUAGGGAUACCCGCUGAACUUAAGCAUAUCAAUAAGCGGAGGA
This 339-nucleotide unclassified non-coding RNA is filed under the name soil metagenome. Its description in RNAcentral is "partial contains 5.8S ribosomal RNA, internal transcribed spacer 2, and large subunit ribosomal RNA". The stretch from base 1 to 120 matches the Rfam family "5.8S ribosomal RNA", at positions 35 to 154 of the family's 154-position model. The record is from RNAcentral.